UUUUUGCUUCCAAUUUCCGUUUCAUUUCCUCGUUGACUAACAACCCCACCACCCCCUCUGCCCCAAGCUAGGGUUUAUUCUUAUUUUUUUCCUCAAACUAUAGAGAAAAACCUUCAAAAAUAGAAUUUUUAUACUGAUUUAAGGAAGAAGAAGAAGUUUCUUGAUCAGUUGACAUGGUUUAUGAAAGCUUUGCCCCGCUAAUCAAGGCGUAAGUUUCUCUUCUCUGAACCCUUUGCAGAAUUAGUAUAUCUUUUAAGCAUAUAUCUGAAUCUUGAAAAAUCGAAAAAAGGUGGGAUUUUUUGGUUUUUUUUUUUGUGAAUUUUCAAGUGUUUGAGAAGGAUAAAGAUUCGUUCUUGGAAGUCUACAGAGAGAAACAAUAAUUGGGUGUUGAGUGUUUUGUUGGGAAACUCACUGAUUACUCAGAUUUCUGUGCUUUUGGUUCAUUUUGGGAAUUUGAAGAAUUUUUUGUUUUUGCUGAAGCUGGAGCUGAUUUGAUUUGGGGAUUAUUUACUGGUGUAUAUUGCUGUUACAGUUUCAAAGUUUGCAACUUUGUUUUUGGUUCUUGCUUGGAUACCUCUUUUGAAUUUGGUUAGGAUUGGAGACUGCUUUUUCUGGUGCUGUGUGAAUUGUAUGUCUGGGUUUUUGUGCAAUGGUUGAGAUUUCUGGAGGGUUUAUUGCAGUGGUGUAAGUGCUGAGGUUUUGUGUUGUCUGUAAGCUUAAAGGACUUUGUUUCGAUUGAUGUUCAUUGAUGGUUUGACGAAGAGGAGCUAUUCUAGGUAAAACAGCUGUAGAUAAGUAUUCAA
RNAcentral lists this long non-coding RNA (803 nucleotides) under Solanum tuberosum (potato). RNAcentral's name for it is "long non-coding RNA (STUB_LNC008499)". The record is from RNAcentral. Lineage: Eukaryota; Viridiplantae; Streptophyta; Magnoliopsida; Solanales; Solanaceae.